AGGCUUAACACAUGCAAGUCGAGGGGCAGCAUGGUCUUAGCUUGCUAAGGCCGAUGGCGACCGGCGCACGGGUGAGUAACACGUAUCCAACCUGCCGUCUACUCUUGGACAGCCUUCUGAAAGGAAGAUUAAUACAAGAUGGCAUCAUGAGUCCGCAUGUUCACAUGAUUAAAGGUAUUCCGGUAGACGAUGGGGAUGCGUUCCAUUAGAUAGUAGGCGGGGUAACGGCCCACCUAGUCUUCGAUGGAUAGGGGUUCUGAGAGGAAGGUCCCCCACAUUGGAACUGAGACACGGUCCAAACUCCUACGGGAGGCAGCAGUGAGGAAUAUUGGUCAAUGGGCGAGAGCCUGAACCAGCCAAGUAGCGUGAAGGAUGACUGCCCUAUGGGUUGUAAACUUCUUUUAUAAAGGAAUAAAGUCGGGUAUGGAUACCCGUUUGCAUGUACUUUAUGAAUAAGGAUCGGCUAACUCCGUGCCAGCAGCCGCGGUAAUACGGAGGAUCCGAGCGUUAUCCGGAUUUAUUGGGUUUAAAGGGAGCGUAGAUGGAUGUUUAAGUCAGUUGUGAAAGUUUGCGGCUCAACCGUAAAAUUGCAGUUGAUACUGGAUAUCUUGAGUGCAGUUGAGGCAGGCGGAAUUCGUGGUGUAGCGGUGAAAUGCUUAGAUAUCACGAAGAACUCCGAUUGCGAAGGCAGCCUGCUAAGCUGCAACUGACAUUGAGGCUCGAAAGUGUGGGUAUCAAACAGGAUUAGAUACCCUGGUAGUCCACACGGUAAACGAUGAAUACUCGCUGUUUGCGAUAUACUGCAAGCGGCCAAGCGAAAGCGUUAAGUAUUCCACCUGGGGAGUACGCCGGCAACGGUGAAACUCAAAGGAAUUGACGGGGGCCCGCACAAGCGGAGGAACAUGUGGUUUAAUUCGAUGAUACGCGAGGAACCUUACCCGGGCUUAAAUUGCAGAUGAAUUACGGUGAAAGCCGUAAGCCGCAAGGCAUCUGUGAAGGUGCUGCAUGGUUGUCGUCAGCUCGUGCCGUGAGGUGUCGGCUUAAGUGCCAUAACGAGCGCAACCCUUGUUGUCAGUUACUAACAGGUUCCGCUGAGGACUCUGACAAGACUGCCAUCGUAAGAUGUGAGGAAGGUGGGGAUGACGUCAAAUCAGCACGGCCCUUACGUCCGGGGCUACACACGUGUUACAAUGGGGGGUACAGAGGGCCGCUACCACGCGAGUGGAUGCCAAUCCCCAAAACCUCUCUCAGUUCGGACUGGAGUCUGCAACCCGACUCCACGAAGCUGGAUUCGCUAGUAAUCGCGCAUCAGCCACGGCGCGGUGAAUACGUUCCCGGGCCUUGUACACACCGCCCGUCAAGCCAUGGGAGCCGGGGGUACCUGAAGUGCGUAACCGCGAGGAGCGCCCUAGGGUAAAACUGGUGACUGGGGCUAAGUCAUAACA
This 1445-nucleotide ribosomal RNA is filed under the name uncultured bacterium. RNAcentral's name for it is "bacterial SSU rRNA". It matches the Rfam family "Bacterial small subunit ribosomal RNA". The record is from RNAcentral. RNAcentral also lists the same sequence under 1 other name.